GACGAACGCUGGCGGCGUGCUUAACACAUGCAAGUCGAACGGGUCUGCCCUGUUUUUUGCGGGGUGGGUCAGUGGCGAACGGGUGAGUAACACGUGAGUAACCUGCCCCUCACUUCUGGAUAACCGCUUGAAAGGGUGGCUAAUACGGGGUGUUCUGGCUGUGCCGCAUGGUGUGGCUGGGAAAGAUUCACUUUUGUGGUGUUUUGGUGGGGGAUGGGCUCGCGGCCUAUCAGCUUGUUGGUGGGGUGAUGGCCUGCCAAGGCUUUGACGGGUAGCCGGCAUGAGAGGGUGGGCGGUCACAGUGGGACUGAGAUACGGCCCAGACUCCUGCGGGAGGCAGCAGUGGGGGGUAGUGCACAAUGGGCGGAAGCCUGAUGCAGCGACGUCGCGUGAGGGAUGGAGGCCUUCGGGUUGUGAACCUCUUUCGCCGGUGAAGAAGGUCCUGCUCUUUGUGGUGGGGUUGACGGUAGCCGGGUUAUGAAGCGCCGGCUAACUACGUG
RNAcentral lists this ribosomal RNA (500 nucleotides) under uncultured bacterium. RNAcentral describes it as "partial 16S ribosomal RNA". It matches the Rfam family "Bacterial small subunit ribosomal RNA", at positions 28 to 507 of the family's 1533-position model. The record is from RNAcentral.